AUGGGUAGAAGUAGGGUCAAUCCUAUUUGGGGCAAGAUUUGGAAAUUAGCUUGUCCGGCGAAGCUGUUUUUUAUCUGGCACACAUUGCAUGGGACACUACCGUGUCAUAUUACCCUAGCCAAUAGACACAUAAAUUUUUUGCCCAAUUGCCCAUCAUGUUGAAAUGGGCUAGAGGAUACAAAGCAUGUGUUGUUCCUGUGUCAGAAGGCAAAAGAAGUGUGGGAAAAUUUGGGGAUGUAUGGAGCGGUUAAAAAAGCUUGUGCGGUUGAUCAUGCAGGGGAGGCAGUCCUUGAAUCAUUAUUCCUCAUACCACAACAAGAGUUUUCUUUGUCGGAUUCACGGAACGCACGAGAGCUGAUUGCUGUAACCGCGUGGUAUUUAUGGUGGAAUAGACGUAAACUGGUUCACGGGGGAAAGUCUCAAGAGGUAUGUCGAACCUCGAUGGGAAUUCGUGCUAUGACGACAAAUUUUGUAAAUGCCCAUUCCCCUAAUGCUAAUAGGAAGAUUGGAGGGUGGAGUUGA
Molecule: ribosomal RNA, 522 nt
Filed under: Triticum aestivum (bread wheat)
Lineage: Eukaryota; Viridiplantae; Streptophyta; Magnoliopsida; Poales; Poaceae
Description: partial small subunit ribosomal RNA
Source: RNAcentral